Small nucleolar RNA from Notolabrus celidotus (New Zealand spotty), 333 nucleotides. Lineage: Eukaryota; Metazoa; Chordata; Actinopteri; Labriformes; Labridae. The record is from RefSeq and is a predicted model, not a curated record.
GCCCAUUGAUGAGAUUAUGGCAAGUUUUAUGAUCUAGUCAUACCAAGAGACCGUGGCCUCCAGCCUGCUGAUGAUGGGUAGUCUUGGUAGUGUGAUGUAGUGUUAUUGCACGACUGUAAGGGCCCACCCAAAGUAAUCCUGUUGCCUUCUGCAAUCUCUGCCCCCCCAAGAGCAGUGGGACGGGACAGACAGAAGGCUUCAAACAAUGCGGAAAUGUUUGUUUGUGAUUGUGUGUCGGUUGUAUGAAUGUAUAUGUAUCAGCUUGCAAGGGGUCCACAGUCUGUAUGCAUUUGGUUUGACUGUAAUGAACUACUUUUUGGUAAUCUGAGGGCA